RNAcentral lists this microRNA precursor (189 nucleotides) under Oryza brachyantha (malo sina). RNAcentral's name for it is "MIR812 microRNA precursor family". It matches the Rfam family "MIR812 microRNA precursor family". Lineage: Eukaryota; Viridiplantae; Streptophyta; Magnoliopsida; Poales; Poaceae. The record is from Rfam by way of RNAcentral.
AACAAAUCAACUUUUCAGUUUUUAGAUAUAAUGUUUAACUCUUCGUCUUAUUAAAAAAAUUUUAUGAUUAAUAAUUUUAUUUUUAUUAGAUGAUAAAAUAUAAAUAGUACUUUAUGUGUGACUAAAUUUUUAAAAAAAUUUGAAAAUUUUUCAAAUAAGACAGAUGGUCAAACGCUCGACACAAAAACC